AUGCGCGUCCCAAAAGACCAAGGAGGUAUGGGUAUCCGAGAUAUCCAUUGUGUUAAUCCGGCAUUGUUAGCCAAACAAGCGUGGCGUCUACUUGAUAAUCCUGAGUCUUUAUGUGCUACUAUCUUGGGAGCUAAAUAUUUUCCGGCCGGCGAUUUAAUGAGUGCAAAUCUAAAAAAGAGCUUCUCUUUUACUUGGCAAAGUAUCAUGACGGGAGUGAACUGUCUGAAAAACGGUUAUAUCUGGCUAGUUGGAAAUGGACAUAAUAUUAAUAUAUGGAGAGAUGCAUGGAUUCCUAACUGUGCGAAUAGGAAAAUUAUUACUCAUAGAAGGGGACAACUACUAUCAAAAGUCUGUGAUCUUAUUGACCCAGUCACGAAUUCUUGGGAUGAAGAUUUGAUGAGACAAACGUUAUGGCCAAUUGAUGCUCAAAGGGUAUUAGCAAUUCCACUUCCCAUGCGUAAUAUGCCUGACUUUAUUGCUUGGAGCCAUACAAAAAAUGGUAAGUUCACUGUUCGAUCAACUUAUUUGGAAGAAUGAAACCAACAACAGGGGAAAAAAAUUAGACACGCAAACGGAAUGGAUAGAACCAAUGUCAACCCUAUAUGGGGUAAGAUUUGGAGACUAUCCUGCCUAGCAAAAAUUAAAAUUUUCAUAUGGCGUACACUGCAUGGUAUCCUCCCAUGCCGAGUUACACUUGCCAAUAGACAUAUGAAAGUUUCACCCAUUUGCCCUUCAUGCUCGAAUGGACCGGAGGAUACAAAACAUGUCUUGUUUCAGAGUGAGAAGGCAAAAGAAGUUUGGGGAAAAUUAGGUCUACAAGAGGUGAUCCAUAAAGCCUGUAUUGUUGACCAUGCGGGAGAGGCGGUGCUAGAAUUCUUACUCCUUAUGAAAGCUCAAGAAUUAAACAUUAAGGGCAUCCAGAAUGCACAUGAGUUAAUAGCUAUUACAACUUGGUAUCUAUGGUGGGAUAGACGUCAACUGGUCCAUGAAGGAAAGUUACAUGAUGCAAAUCAAACUUCGAUGGGGCUCGUGCUAUAA
This 1038-nucleotide ribosomal RNA is filed under the name Triticum aestivum (bread wheat). RNAcentral's name for it is "partial small subunit ribosomal RNA". Lineage: Eukaryota; Viridiplantae; Streptophyta; Magnoliopsida; Poales; Poaceae. The record is from RNAcentral.